GGGUGUGACUGCGUACCUUUUGUAUAAUGGGUCAGCGACUUAUAUUCUGUAGCAAGGUUAACCGAAUAGGGGAGCCGGAGGGAAACCGAGUCUUAACCGGGCGUUAAGUUGCAGGGUAUAGACCCGAAACCCGGUGAUCUAGCCAUGGGCAGGUUGAAGGUUGGGUAACACUAACUGGAGGACCGAACCGACUAAUGUUGAAAAAUUAGCGGAUGACCUGUGGCUGGGGGUGAAAGGCCAAUCAAACCGGGAGAUAGCUGGUUCUCCCCGAAAGCUAUUUAGGUAGCGCCUCGUGAAUUCAUCUCCGGGGGUAGAGCACUGUUUCGGCUAGGGGGCCAUCCCGGCUUACCAACCCGAUGCAAACUGCGAAUACCGGAGAAUGUUAUCACGGGAGACACACGGCGGGUGCUAACGUCCGUCGUGAAGAGGGAAACAACCCAGACCGCCAGCUAAGGUCCCAAAGUCAUGGUUAAGUGGGAAACGAUGUGGGAAGGCCCAGACAGCCAGGAUGUUGGCUUAGAAGCAGCCAUCAUUUAAAGAAAGCGUAAUAGCUCACUGGUCGAGUCGGCCUGCGCGGAAGAUGUAACGGGGCUAAACCAUGCACCGAAGCUGCGGCAGCGACACUGUGUGUUGUUGGGUAGGGGAGCGUUCUGUAAGCCUGUGAAGGUGUGUCGUGAGGCAUGCUGGAGGUAUCAGAAGUGCGAAUGCUGACAUAAGUAACGAUAAAGCGGGUGAAAAGCCCGCUCGCCGGAAGACCAAGGGUUCCUGUCCAACGUUAAUCGGGGCAGGGUGAGUCGACCCCUAAGGCGAGGCCGAAAGGCGUAGUCGAUGGGAAACGGGUUAAUAUUCCCGUACUUGGUGUUACUGCGAAGGGGGGACGGAGAAGGCUAUGUUGGCCGGGCGACGGUUGUCCCGGUUUAAGCGUGUAGGUGUGUGUUCCAGGUAAAUCCGGUUCACUUUAACACUGAGGCGUGACGACGAGGCACUACGGUGCUGAAGCAACAAAUGCCCUGCUUCCAGGAAAAGCCUCUAAGCAUCAGGUAACAUCAAAUCGUACCCCAAACCGACACAGGUGGUCAGGUAGAGAAUACCAAGGCGCUUGAGAGAACUCGGGUGAAGGAACUAGGCAAAAUGGUGCCGUAACUUCGGGAGAAGGCACGCUGACACGUAGGUGAAGUGAUUUACUCAUGGAGCUGAAGUCAGUCGAAGAUACCAGCUGGCUGCAACUGUUUAUUAAAAACACAGCACUGUGCAAACACGAAAGUGGACGUAUACGGUGUGACGCCUGCCCGGUGCCGGAAGGUUAAUUGAUGGGGUCAGCGCAAGCGAAGCUCCUGAUCGAAGCCCCGGUAAACGGCGGCCGUAACUAUAACGGUCCUAAGGUAGCGAAAUUCCUUGUCGGGUAAGUUCCGACCUGCACGAAUGGCGUAAUGAUGGCCAGGCUGUCUCCACCCGAGACUCAGUGAAAUUGAACUCGCUGUGAAGAUGCAGUGUACCCGCGGCAAGACGGAAAGACCCCGUGAACCUUUACUAUAGCUUGACACUGAACAUUGAGCCUUGAUGUGUAGGAUAGGUGGGAGGCUUUGAAGUGUGGACGCCAGUCUGCAUGGAGCCGACCUUGAAAUACCACCCUUUAAUGUUUGAUGUUCUAACGUGGACCCGUUACCCGGGUUGCGGACAGUGUCUGGUGGGUAGUUUGACUGGGGCGGUCUCCUCCUAAAGAGUAACGGAGGAGCACGAAGGUUGGCUAAUCCUGGUCGGACAUCAGGAGGUUAGUGCAAUGGCAUAAGCCAGCUUGACUGCGAGCGUGACGGCGCGAGCAGGUGCGAAAGCAGGUCAUAGUGAUCCGGUGGUUCUGAAUGGAAGGGCCAUCGCUCAACGGAUAAAAGGUACUCCGGGGAUAACAGGCUGAUACCGCCCAAGAGUUCAUAUCGACGGCGGUGUUUGGCACCUCGAUGUCGGCUCAUCACAUCCUGGGGCUGAAGUAGGUCCCAAGGGUAUGGCUGUUCGCCAUUUAAAGUGGUACGCGAGCUGGGUUUAGAACGUCGUGAGA
This 2053-nucleotide ribosomal RNA is filed under the name Salmonella enterica subsp. enterica serovar Enteritidis str. 20037. RNAcentral describes it as "bacterial LSU rRNA". It matches the Rfam family "Bacterial large subunit ribosomal RNA", at positions 589 to 2626 of the family's 2925-position model. Lineage: Bacteria; Pseudomonadati; Pseudomonadota; Gammaproteobacteria; Enterobacterales; Enterobacteriaceae. The record is from RNAcentral.